AUGUUCCCUGUAGCUCUGCUGCUGCUGCUGGCAGCUGUUUCCUGUGUUCAGUCUCAGGUUGUUCUCACACAACCAGGAUCAGAGACGGGAUCUCCAGGAGGUUCCCUCACAUUAAAAUGUGCCUGCAGUGGAUUCAGUGUUGGGGGCACUGACAUGUACUGGAUCAGACAGGCUCCAGGAAAAGGACUUGAGUGGAUCAUCUACUACUACUCUGAUACAGACAAGAGCACAGCGCAAUCUGUACAGGACGGAUUCCGGGCAUCUAAAGACAGCUCUAAUCUGUACCUGCACAUGAAAACUGAGGACACUUCAGUUUAUUACUGUGUGAAAGAUACACUACUGGAUGCACUGGAUCUGUCAGCCACCAGGGAGAGGACUGCAGUGGUUUGGGUCAUUUACACUGGUACUGGCACUGCCUUCUCAGAGUCCUUCAAGGGCCAGUUCUCCAUCACCAAAGACUGUACUUGGAGCUGCUCCUCCACUUUGGGACAACAGAAUCACCAUACUGAGUGCUCUGCAGGAGUGGAGUGGAUACACACCUUCACACUACCUGCCCCAGGCCACUUUGUCGUAAUGAAGAGCAGGACUGAGACACUGAAGAGCUCCUUGACCAGCAACUAA
Molecule: non-coding RNA, 621 nt
Organism: Scleropages formosus (Asian bonytongue)
Lineage: Eukaryota; Metazoa; Chordata; Actinopteri; Osteoglossiformes; Osteoglossidae
Source: the annotation of a RefSeq genome assembly